Molecule: non-coding RNA, 353 nt
Organism: Pelobates cultripes (western spadefoot toad)
Lineage: Eukaryota; Metazoa; Chordata; Amphibia; Anura; Pelobatidae
Source: the annotation of a GenBank genome assembly
CCCCACACACACAUUUACAGGCAGUCACACACUCAGUUACAGACACAGUCACACACUCAGUUACAGACAGACAGUCACACACUCAGUUACAGACAGACAGUCACACACUCAGUUACAGGCAGACAGUCACACAUAGUCACAGGCAGACAGUCACACAUACACAUUUCCUCCGUGCAGCCAGUUUAUCAGCUGUUUGCUUGAGUGAGCUGUACUGGCCGCACGGCACCCUAACUUCCAUGGGACACUGUGCGGCCACAGCUCACACAGCCCCCUCCAGCCAGGGCCGGUACAAGGAUUUUUGCCGCCCAAGGCAAAAGUAAAGUUUGCCGCCCCCCAUGUGACAUCACAAUGCC